UCACCCAAACCUCCUCUCCUAUUGGUCAGAUUUAGACUCCUCUACCCGCCUCCUGUGACGUCAUACGUUACAGCAGCGCGAAAGAAAGAAAGAAGAAAGAAAAGAUGAGCUGGUUUGUAUCUCCAGCAGGAAUGGAGGACAGGCGGACACCCUGGCAGAGACACCAACCCUAAGGGCAAGUUAGAGACGCCAUUUUACCUCACAGUCACGUUUCUGGACUGUGGGAGGAAGCUGGAGUACCCAGAGAGAACCCACACAUGAUCAGGGAGAACAUGCUAACUCCAUGCAGAGAGACCGGAUGCUGGGAAUCAAACCCAAGACCUUCCAGGGAUUAAAGGGAAGUUAUUCACCAAACAGGUUGCGUUUUGCCUGAUAGGAACAUUUUCAGUUUCUUGAUGAAACCCUACAAAAAAAAAAGGAAAAUGUUUUAUGUUAAAGUGAGCCCAAAUACUCUAGAACACGGGUAACCAAUUAAAGAUUGACUCACGGCCAUCUUGGAUUUAG
Long non-coding RNA from Cyprinodon tularosa, 504 nucleotides. RefSeq lists it as uncharacterized. Lineage: Eukaryota; Metazoa; Chordata; Actinopteri; Cyprinodontiformes; Cyprinodontidae. The transcript has 2 exons. The record is from RefSeq and is a predicted model, not a curated record.